This 754-nucleotide ribosomal RNA is filed under the name uncultured bacterium. RNAcentral describes it as "bacterial SSU rRNA". It matches the Rfam family "Bacterial small subunit ribosomal RNA", at positions 63 to 807 of the family's 1533-position model. The record is from RNAcentral.
CGAGGGGCAGCGGGGGAGUGGCAACACUUCCGCCGGCGACCGGCGCACGGGUGAGUAACACGUAUGAAACCUGCCCGCAGCAGGGGGAUAAGCGGAAGAAAUUCCGUCUAAUACCGCGUAACAACCGACGGGGGCAUCCCUGUUGGUUCAAAGGAGCGAUCCGGCUGCGGAUGGUCAUGCGGCGCAUUAGCUAGUUGGCGGGGCAACGGCCCACCAAGGCGACGAUGCGUAGGGGUUCUGAGAGGAAGGUCCCCCACACUGGUACUGAGACACGGACCAGACUCCUACGGGAGGCAGCAGUGAGGAAUAUUGGUCAAUGGCCGAGAGGCUGAACCAGCCAAGUCGCGUGAGGGAUGACGGCCCUACGGGUUGUAAACCUCUUUUGCCGGGGAGCAAAGAGCGGGACGCGUCCCGCCUCGAGAGUACCCGGAGAAAAAGCAUCGGCUAACUCCGUGCCAGCAGCCGCGGUAAUACGGAGGAUGCGAGCGUUAUCCGGAUUUAUUGGGUUUAAAGGGUGCGCAGGCGGAAGCGCAAGUCAGCGGUAAAAUUGAGAGGCUCAACCUCUUCCCGCCGUUGAAACUGCGUUUCUUGAGUGGGCGAGAAGUACGCGGAAUGCGUGGUGCAGCGGUGAAAUGCAUAGAUAUCACGAAGAACUCCGAUUGCGAAGGCAGCGUACCGGCGCCCAACUGACGCUCAUGCACGAAAGCGUGGGUAUCGAACAAGGUUAGAUACCCUGGUAGUCCACGCAGUAAAC